GUCAAUUGCAUCUAUUUCUGCUGGUGUUUAAGCUGAAAGUACCAUUGAGUAUGCAACUUAAAACUAUGCAUAAUUUACACACAAGAACUGCUUCAGAUAAGGCCUAAUUACUCUGAUGCCUGUAUAAAGCUUUUUAAGAGAAACUAUGUGUUUUAGAUUAGUCUUCAACUUCGAGGCCUGUCUGAACUCUUUCCAUUUCCAUUAUUAUGCAGGCCCUACAAAUCCAAUUUAAAGUAGUGCUCUGAACUAGAUGAAUUUUAUGUCUGAGCCUGUGAAGCUUAUGUUAGAAGUGCAACCUGUAACAAAACACUGCAGUUAAGAAAUACAGUGUUCAGGAUAAUCCUUUCAAGCACAUAGCCAUCAUUGGGCUUUUUGUUGAGAGGUUCUAAGGAUUUGUUUAUACCUCUGUGAAACCUUGUGUUUUUCUCAGAACAACUGAUAUCUCACUUCAUUUGGUUAGAAAGGGCUCCAGAAAAGGUUCCCCCUAUUUCCAUUAAUUUCCUAUGUGACUGAGGAUGCUAAACAGAUUAAUUUCUCCAGGUUCCAGAAAGAUCCUAGGAAUUAAGAAUUCAAAGAUGAGGAAUAAUUCAUUCUUUAAAAGCAUCAUUUAUGAAAUAAGAAUUAUUUACAAGAAGCAGGAAAAUUGAGAGGGAGUAUAAGCAGAAUAUAUUAUUGUAAUUUACAAGGAAGAAAAGGAAAGGAAUAUCCACAGACAAACUAAAAAGUUCAACUGACAUUCCAUAAAAGUGUGUAAGCUUCAGAUUCUUCAUCAAGCAAAUUACACACAGAGAAGCAAGGAAAUAAAAAAAAUUGACUAGUUGAGUCUGUAGUUAAACCCAGCACCAAGAUUUCUGGUUGUUACUGGGAGGCAUACAUAUUUAUAAUUAUACCCUGGAAAAAAGAAGAAACAGUGGGUUUCUAUUUCCAAAAUUGCAAUGUUGACAGUAAUUCAAAGACUUGUCUUGCACCAUAAGUGAAAUAUGUAUGUUCCUGAAGUAGUAUGAAGUGGGCUUACAAGAACACCAUCCUAAAUAAUCAAAGCUGCAGAUUCAGUAUUAAGUUUUAUAUUAGAUAACAAAUCAACUGAGUUCAUAUUGUAAGAACAAUCAUGUAUCCAGAGUGUUUUACAGAUGAAAAAAUAAACAUAUUUCUCUCUUCCAGCAUAAAUAGCAUAUUCUCAGUGUCAUGACAUUUCUUCAUUUUAAAUAUAUACGUAACAGAGUGUCUGCCAGUGAAGUCAUCCUAUUUGAAACCCACUCUACUGUUGCAAACCUUACCUCUCUCGCUAUACUUGGGGUGGUAGCAGGAUCUGGCACCAAUAAGGAAAUGUGUUAUUCUUGCUAAAAAUGAACAGCUGGUUUGAAAAUGCAAAAUGUGCACAUAAUGGCAAGCAAAAGAAAGCCUUUUUGGAACUAAAAACUUUUAAAAACUAGAAAGUGUCCACAAAUUAAAUAGAAUUCCUUGAGAAGGCGAUCUUAGCCAAGCUAUUCUACGCUACUUUUUAAAUAAUUAUAAAAAACCUAGAAGUUACAGUAUUCAAAUAUUUUCAAAUAAAUUAUCUUUGCAAUCCUCAUAAAAACCCUACAGGGUGGGAAAUAUCAGAAUCUUGCAUAUGAGAGGGCUGAGGUGAAAGAUAGUGACUAGCCUUAGGCUACCUAAUUAGUUCAGUUGAAAUUUUAAUUGAGGAUUUCCUGCCGCAUAUUACCAGCUUAAGUGGCUACCUGACUGCUCCCAGGCUUUAAUGGUUUUAAAAAGGAGUGUUGUGCAGAAAAAUUAAUUAACAUUUCUGGUUUUGUCUUCUGCAUAUUUGAUUAUUCAAACAUUCAUCAAUUUGAUUAAAAGUGUUCUUUCCUAGAAAUAUUUAGGUCCUACAAUGUGACUCAGUGGUCAGAUUCCUCCUGUCAUGCUGGAAGACCUAAAGAUUUCUAGAGAACACCUCUUUAGAAAUCUCUAGGUUGUCCAGUAAGAUUAUAUGGUCAGUGGAAGGGGACUUUCCUCCAGUCAUAGUGCAAGACUGGAAAUUCAUAGAUAAAACAAAAUAGCAUUUUUUAGUUUCACAGGGGUCUUGUGUUCCUAACCCCAGCAAAUGUGAAGGGCUAACUGAUUUACUUUCAAAAUUACUUUUAUACACACACUACAUAUGGACAUCUUCAACUAAUAUUGUUUAUGAAACCUUCCUGAAAGUGUAACAACUGAUGUAAAAGAAACCUAAGACUCACAUGAAAUACAGUAAGACAAUGAACAGAUUGAGACACUCUCAGGAUUUUUUUUCCAUAUCAGGAAUGACUUGAGAAACUGCAAGUCACUUCUGGUGUGAGAAAAUUGGCUGUCUGCAAGGACGUUACCCAGAGGACGCCCGGAUGUUUGAUGUUUUACCAUCCUGUGGGUGACUUCUCUCAUAUCCCCGCAUGGGGAGCUAGAGCUGAAGAGGGAGCUCACCCCAUUCCCCGGAUUCGAACCGCCAACCUUUCAGUCAGCAGUCCUGCCGGCACAAGGGUUUAACCCAUUAGACCACCGGAGGCUUCACUUUCAAGAUGAAGGGUAUUUGAGGAUUCUCAAAACAGUUUACAUUUUCCAUCUGGGUCAGAGCACCUGAAGAGGGAGUCAGUGGGGUUACAAAGCAAUUCCAGCUGGAAUAUAAUCCUGCAAACAUCCCAAUACUGCCAAUAUGAAUUUAAGGGGUGAGGGAAGGCACUUCCCCAGAAUCUUCUGUUAUAAAAAGGGUAAGCCAGACCUGCCACAGAAUGCUAUCUAUUCAAUAUUCCAGACACUCCAUUACAUUCCCUCUCUUCACUGGUUUCCUAUCCCCUUCCUAGCUGUCAGCAUUCUGUUCUUGCUGAGCACACUCAGUCUCCCUCAAUGGUCUGGUUUCUUUCUACCUUAGGUUCCCACAAACAGUUUAUUUCAGGAUUCAUCAGACUUUGCUAAAAUCUCCUUCUCAUACUUUAUAUGUAACAAAACAAAACCUGGAAAAGAGCUUUGGAUUUGAACUCCCUAAAUUGGCAUGAACACAAACUGGCUGGGGGAUUCUAGGAAUUAUUUCCUCAAAAGUAGCUUUUACUAGCUCUCCUUGGUCUUUACUGAGAGAAGUUUGAUCACAGUUAAUGUAUAAUUGUUUUUGGUACUACUGAAAAGCAAUCAAAAAUAUAUAUCUGAAACAAUGCAAGGCAUAUGCAAUAUAUGAAGGACGUAGGAAUAUUUCUUCAAACACAGAUAACCCUCAGAUCUGAAAGGUGGAGAGAUUUCCAGUGGCUGCCAAUGUGUGUCUAUGCUUGUAGAAUGCAAAUUCUAUUUUAUUCGCUACUUCCACCCCUUUAUAUCAGGCUGCUGUCUUUAAAAGCAUGCCUACUUGUGAGCAUUCAGUCCCUCUCAGGGUAAAUUCACCCACUCUUUUGAUGAUGACAGAGACAGUUCUGAGCUUGAAGAGAUUAAAUAACUCCCUUCAAACAGCAGAAAAAUGUGCUGUUAAACUACAACUUCCCCCAACAUUUUUUAUUGCCAAGGCUCCAUGAAUGAGCUGCAUAUCCACACCCAAAAGAAAUAAAUCACAGCUUUCCAACUAGCAGAUAAGCUACUCGUAAGAGAAGGAGCUGCCAUCAUGGGUAUUAUCCUCUGUAGAGAUCCCUAUAAGCAUCUUCGGCAUUUUCCAGAUAGUUGGCAAUACCCUUAAGAAGAUAUGACUGCAGUCUUAAAUGUUCUGCGGCAUCCUAAAAACCAGCUCCAGAGGACUAGGAAAUUCCUUGGAACAAGGUUUUUGGCACCAAAGAAGACUGCAGUAGAAAGUAGAGGAGAGCGAACUUCCAUCUGUUGCCAAUAUUGGAUAUGAAACCAGUGGUUCUUGUGGCCCCAUUUUUAUUUAUUUUUCUGUUUCUCACCAUCUUUUCAUUUUGCUUCACUCUCCUUUUAAAUAUAUAUAUAACUUUUAAAAAGUAAUGCAUAAAUGGUCACUAGAAAAGGCCACAGCAAUCUUUUCUUUUGGUGCAUAAACCUGGAAUAUUUUUACCAUCAGAAGUAGGUUGUCAGGCUGCAAGAGAAAAAUUACAGGCACAACAACCACAAGAGGAGAGCUUUCCAAAUUGUGUGUCAUGGCAUGUUAGUGUGCCGGCUGCAGUGUGUAGAUGUGUUGUGCAAAUGUAACAAGAAACCUUAAGCAAUACAUCAUAUAUUUAAAUACAGUAGAGUCUCACUUAUCCAACAUUCGCUUAUCCAACGUUCUGGAUUAUCCAACACAGUCGGCCUUUUAGUAGUCAAUGUUUUGUAGUCAAUCUUUCCAAUACAUUGUGAUGUUUUGGUGCUAAAUUCGUAAAUACAGUAAUUACUACAUAACAUUGCUGUGUAUUGAACUGCUUUUUCUGUCAAAUUUGUUGUAAAACAUGAUGUUUUGGUGCUUAAUUUGUAAAAUCAUAAUGUAAUUUGAUGUUUAAUAGGCUUUUCCUUAAUUCCUCCUUAUUAUCCAACAUAUUCGCUUAUCCAAAGUUUUACUGGCCCAUUUAUGUUGGAUAAGUGAGACUCUACUGUAUUUAUAAAUGAAAGAUUUUCAUGAGAUAUGUUGUGCCCCAUACAUUUUGUUAUUAUAAUUUAUGUAUGUGUUUAUAUAGCUGAUAAAGGGUUGGUUUAACCUCUGGUUUGCUAGUAUAACCAAUCUACUGUGUUGCGAAAAAAAGUAUUUCUAAAAAGUGUGUCACCAACAUAAAAUGUUUGGAAAGCAGUGCACUAGAGAAACAGGAUAUUCAAAGCCUACAGAUUUUACUCUCCUUUCCUUGCUACAGCUGUUUCACCCUGGAGAAAGAACAACUUAUGAAAGACAGUGCACCAUCUCCCAAAUAUCUGCACAAAUGAAACAAACUAUUAAUGUUGUUGUUUUCUUUUUCAAAACUCUGACCUGUGACUUUUUCACAAAUGAGAUCAAAGCACUUGCACAGUAAAAACAUAAUACAAUCCAUAAAAUAUAAUUACUACAAAGCUAUAUUUCCUAAUCAAAUAUCACAAAGAAAAAAAUACAUUAUGGGGAAUAGUUAUAAAGUAGCUACAUGGAGGAACCAACUGAAAACCUUGUGGAAGCCAUGUUUUCGUCAGAUGUCUAAAAGAAUAAAAUGUCAGGAUCUAAAGAACUUCUCUUGGGAAAGCAUUCCACAAUAGCGUUACUACUGAAAACACCCUGCUGGCCAUAGAGUAUGGAGCAAGACCUCUGAAACUGAUGAAACACAUAGAAAGGGAAAUAUUUAAUAUGGCGGCCCUUCAGAUGCUUCGAACAAAUGAUGAAAUAAGCUUACCUGUAUUUGUCAUAUAUUUGUGGCAACUAGUGGCAUCCACAUCAGUGCAACAGUGAAUCCACUCUGAGUUUUUGCCUGAACUUCCAAGGAUCUAUCGAGCAUGGUGAACCCUAUCCCACAAACAGAUUCAGCACGUUGAAUAAAUCAUUGAAAGGGCAGACUAAGAAUGGCUGCACUAUCCCACAGUUGAAGUGACUACAAAUUUGUCCCACAGUAGAAAGUGACAAACGAAUUGAUAAAAGCUAAUGUAGAAACAAAUAGAUCAAUCCGACCUGUGAUACUGUUAAAAUAUGGUUCUCCAAAACACUAGAUAAGAUAGUAAAAAGAAGGAGUAGGAUCCUUUAUGUCAAAAGAGGUACACUUGAAUUAGUAAUAAAUGUAUUUUGCUUGUCUUUUAGUUUCAUCUGCUACUUUUUGUUUAAAAUAUUUUCCUUAGUCUGUGGAAGAAGACUUAUUGUGGAAGCUGUCACCCAUGGUCUGAAGGGGUGCAACCCCAGCCAUGGUAUUCUAAUGAUUAGAUCAGGACAAGACAAUGUAUAGUGUUCCAUGUUUUAACAAACUAUAUUUCCAAUCAGUUUUAGUCAACAUAUAACCAAUAGUGAUGGGUGAUGGCAGUUGCAAUCCAACCUCUAGAGAACCAUAUGUUCCCUGUUCCUAAUUUAGAAUGCUAGACUGAGACCAGGAAUACUCAUCUUCACAUCCUGACUCAGACAGGUCAGCCACUGUUUCUCAGCCUAUGUUAUGAGGGUAAAAGUGGUUUGGAGGGAAUAACAUUGUGUACUUGCUCUAACUUUUGGAGAAGAUACAGUAUUUUGGAGACUGUAACUGCCUCUAAACCCCAUACAGAUAAAAAAUGUUAUACUGUAUAUAAAUAUAUAUAACCAUUAUGAUUGCACAAGGCAGAUAACGUGGAACUGCAUUUGUGCCUUCUAUGGCAGCUUACCACAGUACAGUCCUACCUUGACUUAUGAGGUUAAUUCAUUCCUUGUCUGAGCUCUUAACUCAAAAUGCUCUUAUCUCAAUGUGAAUUUUUGUACUGAAAUGCUAUUAAUCCGUUCCACUAAAAAAAUUGAUACGUGUGUUCAGAUAAGAUACACUUUAUAAAUAACAAAUAAUAUAUAAAUAAACAUUCUUUAUGCUGCACAAUAA
Anolis carolinensis (green anole) is the source of this 6422-nucleotide long non-coding RNA. RefSeq lists it as uncharacterized. The transcript has 2 exons. NCBI's taxonomy places the organism in Eukaryota, Metazoa, Chordata, Lepidosauria, Squamata, Anolidae. The record is from RefSeq and is a predicted model, not a curated record.